RNAcentral lists this unclassified non-coding RNA (159 nucleotides) under soil metagenome. RNAcentral describes it as "partial internal transcribed spacer 1". The record is from RNAcentral.
CAGAGUUAUCCAACUCCCAAACCCAUGUGAACUUAUCUCUUUGUUGCCUCGGCGCAAGCUACCCGGGACCCAUCGCGCCCCGGGCGGCCCGCCGGGCGGACAAACCAAACAACUCUUGUUAUCUUAGUUGAUUAUCUGAGUGUCUUAUUUAAUAAGUCA